This 240-nucleotide ribosomal RNA is filed under the name uncultured bacterium. RNAcentral describes it as "partial 16S ribosomal RNA". It matches the Rfam family "Bacterial small subunit ribosomal RNA", at positions 94 to 334 of the family's 1533-position model. The record is from RNAcentral.
AGUGGCGGACGGGUGAGUAACGCGUGGGUAACCUGCCUCAUACAGGGGGAUAACAGUUAGAAAUGACUGCUAAUACCGCACAAGACCACAGCACCGCAUGGUGCAGGGGUAAAAACUCCGGUGGUAUGAGAUGGACCCGCGUCUGAUUAGGUAGUUGGUGGGGUAACGGCCUACCAAGCCGACGAUCAGUAGCCGACCUGAGAGGGUGACCGGCCACAUUGGGACUGAGACACGGCCCAA